CAAAGGUAGUUUUAAACGAACUAAAAUUGAAAUUAGAUACAAGAACAAAAGAGGGGUUGAAGAAGGUUAAGAGCUUGAAAAUAAGAAAUCAAUCCUAUGUCAUGAAAAAAUCAUGAACUUUUCAGUGGAUUUUUCCCAGAAUAACGGCGAUGGUGGCGGGGUCUCGCCGACUGUUUUCAUCGAUUGUAUGUCUGGUCAGAGAGAAGAGAAAAGAGAGGACGGAGGGGGAUGAAUCGUGGCUUAGUGGAGGCGGUAGAUCUGGGGGACGAUGCUGGAGUGGUGGCUCCGAUCGGCGGUGGGAGGUUGGUCGUUGCUGGCAGCGGUGAAGACGGACGGCGGGACGCGGGGAAAGAGGUUGUCGUUGCUGGUUUAUCAGAGGAGGCACUAGAGGCGAAGGAGGUCGGCGAUUCUUAGUCAUGGUUGGUAUCCGAUGUGGACGGUGUUCGACAACCAUGACUGUCUUCCUUUGAGCGAGAGAGAGAACAUUUGAGGAAGGGAGGCGGAAGAGAGAGAAAGAGGCUUGUUG
RNAcentral lists this long non-coding RNA (526 nucleotides) under Capsicum annuum. RNAcentral describes it as "long non-coding RNA (CANN_LNC019534)". The record is from RNAcentral. Lineage: Eukaryota; Viridiplantae; Streptophyta; Magnoliopsida; Solanales; Solanaceae.